UGGUUUUCAGAAGUGUAGCGUU
Molecule: microRNA, 22 nt
Filed under: Gallus gallus (chicken)
Lineage: Eukaryota; Metazoa; Chordata; Aves; Galliformes; Phasianidae
Description: gga-miR-1798-3p
Source: miRBase by way of RNAcentral